AAAUUACUAACAAAUUAGUAAUAUACCCAAAAAGGGAGGGGAAAAAAAAACAACAACCAUGGUUUUAAAAUUUGAGAAAAGCUUUAUCAUUCCCAUGUUUGUGAUCAUCAUUUUGGUGAUCACUUGUGCAUCACAAGUGGUGUCCGGCCGGUCGAUGCAUGAACCGUCCAUCGUUGAGAAACACGAACAAUGGAUGGCUCAGCAUGGACGCACUUACAAGGACGAGCUAGAGAAGGCAAUGCGUCUUAAUAUAUUCAAGCAAAACCUUGAAUACAUUGAGAAAGCCAACAAGGAGGGGAAUCGGACGUACAAGUUGGGCACCAAUGAAUUUUCAGACUUAACUAACGAGGAGUUUCGUGCUUUAUAUACAGGAUACAACAGGCCAGUACCAAGCGUAAGCCGCCAGUCAUCACGGCCAUCCACCUUCAAGUACCAAAACGUGACUGAUGUUCCGACUAGCAUCGACUGGAGGGAGAAAGGAGCUGUCACUCAUAUAAAGGAUCAAGGCCAAUGUGGUAAGUAAUUAUUAUAGAUUGAUGAAGUGAUGCUGCAGAGUGUUUGUAGCUGUCACGUCAUGUACAACAAAUUAUUAUUCGUCGUCUAACGUAACUUAUUAACCAUGCAUGCAAUAUUAUUUUACAGGAUCCUGUUGGGCAUUUUCAGCUGUGGCGGCGGUGGAAGGGAUCACUCAGAUUACUAGGGGAAAACUUAUUGAACUUUCGGAGCAGCAGUUGGUAGACUGCUCAACAGACAACCAUGGAUGCAGUGGGGGUCUUAUGGAUAAGGCCUUUGAGUAUAUUAUAGAAAAUAAGGGCCUUGCCACAGAAGCGGACUAUCCGUACCGGCACGAAGAAGGAACCUGUGACAAUCAGAAAGAGAAAGCAGUUGCUGCUACAAUCAGUAAAUAUGAAGAUUUACCGAAAGGUGACGAGCAAGCCUUACUCCAGGCCGUAAGCAAUCAGCCAGUAUCAGUUUGUGUUGACGCGAGCGGACGAGCCUUCCAUUUUUACAAAAGCGGUGUGCUUAAUGCAGACUGUGGGAAUAACUGUGAUCAUGGUGUCGCUGUUGUUGGGUUUGGAACUGCUGAAGAAGAAAAUGGAGCCAAAUACUGGUUAAUUAAGAAUUCGUGGGGGGAGACUUGGGGUGAGUCCGGCUACAUAAGGAUUCUCAGAGAUGCAGGUCUCUGUGGCAUUGCCACUGCGGCUUCCUAUCCAGUUGCAAUAUGACUACUAUAAUUUUAUUAGCCUCCUCUUCAUAGCAGUAUCAAUGAGGUUGUGCUAUCCUACAUGUGGAAAUAAUUUAAUCUUGUUGGAGUCUUAAUUAGUUUUGGAGUAUUGAUGAUAUCUUCAUCAACUUCAAAUUAACCCACGGAUGUAUUAGCUAGCCACUGAAAGCUGAUAUUUAUCUAUUGUGUGGUUAAUUUUCUAUAUUUCUUAAUGUUUGUAAUGGAAUUAAUGCCAGUAUACUUGGUAUCUUCUAUAAUUAAUGUUAAAUCUCUUGUUUAAAUAUAAUUUUCAUCUUCGCCGCAGUUACUUUAUUACAAUUUAAGUAAUAAAUUAAUUAUAUUAUUUAUUUAUCAAAUUCUUAUUGAUAAAUUGAAAGGUUUUUUUAAAUAAAAGUAUUUUAGGAGAAAAUUGUGAAAAAAGCCGGCUCCAAUUGUUAAUUUGGAGCAAUUAAUUGGAACCAGCUCAUGUUUUAAAAUACAUUCACACUCCUCCCAGCAGAUAUUAACCGUGAAGCUUAAGUACUAUUUUGAGAAUAUGAAUGAAGUAAAAUAACCAACAAGCGUGUAGAUCAGCUGGUAUGAGAUUGUUCUAACUUAAUCAAGAUCGUUGGUUCGAGACUUGGGAAUGCAGCUGUGUUAAAUACUUGUUGGGAGAGCUUUCCCGGCCUAGUGGUCUUGCCUGACUCGAAUUUAAAUUAGUCAGAGUCCAAUGUGGUCUUUGAAUACUAGAUGGUUUAAUGCACCAAAAAAAAAAAAUAACAUACAUAUCCUCGAUGAGCAACAACUUCAUUUUCUUUUGAGCAUUUAUUCUUCUCAUAUUCAUCACUCUGAAUUUAGUGAAUGGUAUAAUGACGGAGAUGAGUUUCGCUACAAGAUCAAAAGAGAAAUUUUUUAGUACACAAAUGGCUCAAAUUAAGUUAUAUUUCAUGGUAACCACAAAAGAUUUUAGUUAUUAGAACCAAAGAGAAAAUUUAUAGUUACGCAUACCACUCAAUUUAGGUUGAUGUAUAUUUUGCAACUCAAUCAAUAAAAGCUUGUGACAUUAGAGUAGAUUUUUUACAUCAGUUUUGAUAAUGUUUAUACAAGUACCGUUAAUAAAUAUUUUGCGGAGGUUCACUUAAAAAAAUGAGAGGUUUUAUAUUACUAUAUGUUUAUGCCAUUGUCAACGUUUAUUUUAUUUUAUUAUUUAUGCCCAUAAAUCUCACACAUAAAAUUAACAUACAAAUUGUUUUAUUUUAUUCAUAUUCCAAAGUUUUAUAACCACUAAAGGUAAAUUUUGUGAAUCCUAUAUCUAUUAGAUAAGAAAUUCUAGAAUUUCUCCUAUUAGAUUAUGUGACACCGCUGAUCCCACUAUGAAACCUAUUGCUCUAUCAUUCAAGCAUACAAACUGAACACACUCAAGUAGUAUUAUGGGCUAAAACAAAAAAAACAUUUCUCUGUGUGUGUGUGUGUAUAGACACACAUACAGACACAUACUAUUAUGUAUCGUUGGUGUAGAUAUAUAUACAUAUAAAUAUAUUCUCUGUGUAUGUGCAUACUAUUAUGUGACACCGGUAAUCUCACUAUGGGUCUCACUGCUAUAUUAAUAUUUCUUAAUUCUAAUGUAAAUUUGAGAUUUGAAGUUAUAUCUCUUGUACCACUUUAAACAAAUUUACAAUUAAACCAACUACCAUCCAUAAUCCAUUCUAAACCAUAACCAUGUAUGAUUCUUAAGAGAACGUUUAUUCAUUAAAAUUUUUAAUACUAAUAACUUUCUUUCCUUCAAAAUUUUAGAUACUACUUUGAAGUCCAUAAUUAUUUCUUUCUGUCUUUUUCCUAAACUUUUCAUUUAGUUGGUUAUGGUUAUCUUCUUUGAAGUCAUUAGUUUUCUAAAAUCGGUAUAAAAUUAUAUUCAUAAAUAGAAACAAAAUGAAAGCCAUUUCCAUCCAGCUAGGCGUGCAAUAAGAAAAAUGCUAACCUUAUUAUAUGUGGCUCCAAUUGGAGUUGAGCAAAGUCCAAAUGGUCUUCAUGCACUGAAAACACACAACUGUAAUAAAAAAAUUUUAGAGGGACAAAUGGAUUUCAUGCACUCAUUUUAGUUGCUGUAGAUUCUCAACCUUAACCAACCACCCCCACAAAAUCAUCAUCUUUGUCUAUUAACGCAAUUUUUAAUUUAAUUAACUUUUAUGUUAGAAAUAAAAAAAGGGCCCUUCCAUUUUGCAUUUGCAUGCAAUACGCAUCCAAGAAAUUACCUAAGUUUCCAAUAAAGUUACGAAUAUAUAUAUAUAUAAGACAAAAGAUGGACAUGAUUUUACUCCUAAAUAGAAAAAAUUUCCACAUGCCAUUUUCACGUGUAGUUACAACCCUUACGGUCUUAUUUCUAUUAUAAAUUCAUUUCUUUUAAGAAUUUACAAUUAAUCUAAAGAAUGCUAUAAUAUUUUCAUCACAUACUAAGCCUUUAGUACCCAUAACUUCUAUUUAAAUUUAAAUUUUUUGUUAUUAUAUAGUAGUUGAGUAUAUAAAUAAUAAAAUCUCGGUGGGUUAUAACCUAAUAUAAAUAAUAUAUAUAAAUUGCGGAAAUGAAAAGAGAGAGGGGGAGGGAGAGAGAUGGCCUCAAAUUUCAUUGCUUUUGUAUAUAUCUAUCAAAAGAAAAUCUACUUGAUUUCCACAUCUUUAAGCAUUCAUAAAGCUGGAUUUAGUUGCAGUUCAAUUAGAAUUUAGAAACCUUAUCCUUGGUCAAGAUAAAUAAAUAAUAUUAAUGUUAUUUUUGAAUUUUUAAUGAAUAUAUAGUAAGUCUGUAAUGUCAUGAAUAUGUAAAAGCACAUUAAAACCUAAUAUUAAUUGUUUUUCUAAACCUCAGUAAAAAUUUAAUGAGGUUUGUUUAUCCUCUAUUUUCUCUUUCAGGGAGUCCAAGUUGCAAGAGUGAAGUGAUAAUUUGGAUUGAUUCAAAUUUAUGACUAUGACCAUGAACGUAACGUUAAAAUUUCCAGAUUUAACAAAAGGUUUUAGCAAAAACUUAAUUAGAAUUUAAUAGUGUCAUUUAUUUAAAACAAAAAAAGGAAAAAAAACAUUAAUAAUUCAGUUACAAAAAGUCACUUUGGUUAAAAAAUUAUGGACACAUGCUUCCUCCACAGUUUUGGCUUCAAACCAGCUUCCCAAGUUUCAGACCUCCUCGCCCUAUCAAAAACGACUAAAAUUGUGGUUGGAAACUUGGUCCUGAAGUUACUUAAUCACCCUUUUAAUUUAUAGUAAAAAAAAAAAAUUGUGAGCAGAAAAUAUAAAAUUUUAGCUUAAAUUGGCAUGAUGAAAGAGCUCAAGCUCUCAAGAAUCCUUCAAAAAUUACCAAUAAUAAUUAAAUUUCACUAGAUUUUUUUCGAAGAAUUUGUUUGAUUUUUCAUUACUAAUGUUAUGUGACUGAGCUGAAGUUGGGCAAUUUUCAUUAUUACAUUGACUCUCAAUUAUGGUUAAGAAAAUAACAUUUACCAAUAAUUAAUAAAACACAAGACCCUGAAAUUUUGUUCACACACAAAGCAUACAAACAAUUGAAGAAGGGUGAUAAAGUAAUAACACAACAAACGCUAAUAAAUCAUUAAAAUUAAGACAACGUUGUUGUAGCCUUAAUUCUCUUUGCUUUGUCCCACUAAUAGUGCCCCUUCAGUCGUAUCUCGACUGUAUGAUCUUCUUCAAAGCAUCCGGUGCCCACCAAACGGUCUUGAUUUAUAUAAUAACUAAGAAAUAGAACCGCAUUUGUGCGGCUUUGAAAAAAGAAUUUAGUAUUAUUCUUUUUUUCUUAUUCUACUUUUAACGAUUUAUUCUAUUCGAUUAAGAGGCAAGACUUCCAAAAAAAAAACAUGAAAAAAAUAAAGCAAAGCUAAAACCCAAAAGACUUUUUUAAUUAUUUAAACUUGCAUUAGUUAAAUUAACACCACGGAAACAGAAGUGCCAUAAAUGCACCUUGCCUAAGCCAAAGCCUUGGAAACCUGAGGCUGAUAUAUCACCGCGAGGCCACCUGGUGAAGGAGCAGAAGAUGCAUCACAGUAGCCUCUCAGUAUAUUUCCUUCGUCGGCAGUGCAUCCGAGAGAGGUGAGCAUUGCAGGCCAGCAAUUACGGGUGAUGAUAUCAAUAGCCACAUAAAUUUAGCCCCAUCUCUCUAUUUAACAUUUAACCACCCUUCCUUUCUUGAGAGCUUAAUUUUUAUUUUUUUUUAUUUUGUUUUAUUUUUUUUCUUUACUCUCUCUACUACAUGGAGCUUGAUUUAAGUUUUCGAGAUGAUUAUCCUUUCAUAUCAAGCCUAUUUCCUAAUAAUCUCUUCAAAUCAGACCUAGAUAAUGGGUUCUCGUCUAGAAAAUCCAUCUUCUAAAGGUAUAUUGUUUCACAACUAUCAUAAUAACCAUGAUUAUGGUCUUAUUAGUGAGUCCACUUUUUCAAAUCCUCACCAUCUUAAUCGAUUUACCAUCGAAGGAUCCUCAAAAAGUCCCCCUCUCGAGAUCUCAACAAUGAGUUUCAAUCCUCUUGAGGGCUAUUCAAAUGGAUUUUUAGGUACUGAGGGUGCAUAUACCGCCACUCUAUUGGUACCGAAUAGUACAAAUGAGGUUUUGCAUGGCCCGAAAAGUAGAGGAUUUUGGGAUUAUUCACAAAAAUUUUCAGCUCACCCCAAGCUGGAAACUCCAAAUUUUUUUCCGAUACUAAUGAAUUUUCAAGAUUAUGGAUCAUCGAAUUCAAAAUUGUCCGAUGAAGUCUCAUGUGUAACUGGAGAAAAUGCAUAUAAUCAAGAUCAAAAGAGGAACAAAAGGAUACCUAUGAAAAGAGAAAGGAAACUUCCAAAGAAGAACAACAUAAUCAAAGGGCAGUGGACUCCUCAAGAGGAUAGGUAAGAGAAGAACUAAAUUAAAUUUCAUUUUGUUCUUUUUUUCACAAAUUAAUCCAAAAAUUUUAUUUAUACUUUCUUCCAUUUUUUCUCCUUAGGGUUUUUUUUUUUUUUUUUGGGUACGUUUAUUGGAGUUAUUAAGAAUUGGUAUCAUAAAUCUCUCUUUGCAGAAUGUUGACCCGGCUAGUUUAAGGGGGAAAAAAUUGAUAGUUUUUGUAAUUUUCAAGUACUUGCCAUUUCAACGUCAAUUUUUAGAUAGAGGAGGAAAAAUUGAUCCUGCACGGAGAGUAAGUCUAUGACUGAAAAAAUUAGAUGAAAUUUAAGAGUAAAUACGAUAAGCAGUAUUCCAACUUGGUAGUUGCAAUUUUUUUUGAAGAUUUUGCAAGACACAGUUAGCUUAUGAUUUAUGAAGCAAAUCUAUAAUGAGAGCGAUUGCCUCAUGGUUUAUUGAAGAAAAAUUUAUAAGGAGAGCUAAUUCGAUCUUGUUUAUUGUUGGCGGCAAUUGAUAUCAGACAAUUGUUGAUUAUAUCUAACGGCCAAGGUUGGAAGUCCGAAUAUCAAAGGUCUACAAUUACGGUCAAAGUUGAUCCUGCAAAAUUUUACAUAGAUAGCUCUAUUUAAAAUUUAUUAAAAUAUAAUAGCUAUAGAGAUGACUAAGGUCCUGUUCAAUAUUGAGGAAGUGUAGCUAUUGUAGCAAAAAAUUAUGACUUUAAAAUAAAGCUUAAUAGUAUGUAAUAAAUAAGAUUUUUAAAUAAUAACUUAAUUUGAUAAAAAUAAUAAAGAUGUUAUAUCUUUUUUAUCAUAUAGGACUAGUAUUAUAAGUAAUGGAUUAAAUCAACUUAACCAGUUAUAUUAGCUAGUAUUUACUAAACACUUUAGCACUGUGGCAUUUAAAUUAAAACUGCAUAAUCUCAAUACUAAGCAUGGUCUAAUUUAAUUGUAUUGGGGACUAAUCCCUGGCAAGUUUUAUAUAGAUCCCUUUAUUCUUAGUUUUUCAAAAAUACAAUCAUACAAAUUACCAAUUUCUUCCUUCUAAUUUUUUAUUAAUAUAUAUGUAUGUAUGUAUGUAUGUAUGUAUGUAUGUAUGUAUGUAUAUGUAUAUAGGCACACACACACAUGCCCGAACAACUUGUGGAGCUUGUGAUUUCAGGACCGACUUUACAAACAACUUCUUCAAAAAUUAUGCCGCAAAUAUCAAGAGAUCAGCUGCUUCAGCUGGAAUUAAUUUUGAGGUACUUUUGUAAUUUCUUUUUAUUUAUGUAAUUUUAAAGGAAGUAUUGAUAUUUGGUCCCAAUAGUGACAUAUAGUGACAUAUGGAUUGAACUGCUACAUUGUUGUUCUAGUCAUUAACAAUUGUUCAAUUAGACCUUCCAAGGUGAUGGGAUAUGAUGAGUUGUCUUUUAACUAUCACAAAACUUAAUAUUCUUAGUUCUUAUGAAAAUCAUAGAAUACCUGACAGAAAAGAAUAAUAUAUUUUUUAUCUUAUUUUACAUAGAUUUUACUGUUUGAUCGAGUCUUGGAUAGAUUUUAAAUACAUUAUAUCAUCUACAGUAAAUUUUCUAUAAAAUAAUAUUGUUGGGAUUAAGGAAAACUAUUAGUUUUGUGAUGUUAUUAAUUUACCAAUAAAUGAAUAUUUAUUAAUUUAGAAAGAGAUUUUUUGUUUUAAGAAUUUUAUCGAUAUAUGUACAUAUUUACGUGUAAAAGAACAUAAAUCGUGCUUCCUUAAGUCAAUGAUAUAUUCUCAAAUGGCUCCCACUUAUAAUAGUGUAGCUUUGUUAAGCAACUUGUAAUUAUACAAUAUUUCUUUUUUGCCUUUCCUUAGUUUGUGUAAUCAUACAUAUACCACUAUUGUGUAAGUAUUUACUUUUGAAAAAUAUGAAUACAAAAGUAUUCUCAAGAUUAAUUUGAUUAUUUUAUAAUUUCUAGUCUCAUAUCAUAAUAAUUUUCAUAUUUUUGGGCUUCAUGGGUUCUCAUUUGAAAGAAGUAAAAAGAAAAAAGAAAAUCUUAAUUGAUAGAAAAAGAUAUACUAAAUGUAGUGCAUGCUCUACAAAAUAAUUAAUGACGACAUGCGCUCAGUUAGGAACGAAGAGAAGCUAAAAAAGCAAAAGAAAAACUUUAGAUGCAUAUUUUUCAAAGAAUUGAAUUCAAAUAAUAGAAAUUGUAAAAAAAAAGUUCCUUAAUUUUAUGAGUUAUAUAAUUUAUUCAUUAUUAAUUUUUGUAUGAGAUUAAUUAUGAGUUUAUAUUUUCAAUGGGUCCUAAAGGAUUCAAAAAGUCGCUAUUGUCUUACGCAUUUAACAAAGCUAUUUAUUUGCUACACUGGCUCAAUUUGGAACUUGAUGAUUUAAUUAUUUAUCAAGAUUAUUAACUUAUCGGAUAGUUAUUUAUCAAUGUUUUAUUUAUGUUUUACGUUAAUUAAAAAAAGAAAUUAUAUAAAAGAAAAAUAAACUAAUUUAAUGAUAUUCGCUUAUGCGCACUCUUGAGUGUAUGAGCUCAACAUCCUUUUCGUGAUUUGGAGAAGCACAAUUGGAAAAAACCAGAUAACAAAAAAAAUUAUUAAAAUAGACACACAUAGAUUGAAGGAUUUCUUAAAUUAUUAAAGUUAGAAAUAAGUUAAAGGACAAUAAAAAUACAAACUUCAAUAUAGUACAGAACAAAAUACACUGCACUGCAGUAUGUGUUUUGUUUGUAAUUUAGUUUGUCCUUUAUUUCAACAACUUAAAAGAUCCCUUAUUAGAUAAAGACUAUAUAUAUAUAUAUAUAUAACGAAAAUGUUGAAUAGGAGCACGCCCAAAGAAUAUGGUGACGAAACAAGGGGCUCUUAAGUGAUUAAUGACUCUUUUUUUGUAUCUAUGUUUAGUUUUACUGUUGCCCCCACUCCAACAGUUAAACAUAUCUUUUAUUUUGUAAUCCUUUUGAGUUCUUAGGGUAACUUAGUUAUUAGAAUGCCACCGGCAUUCGUUCCGAGCAUAGUUCAAGCUCUCCAUAAGAUUCGUAUGGUUAAAUUAGUUACAACUUUCCUUGUUUGUAGACAAAGCUAAUUCGGAAUUGUCUUUAGUUUCAUGGUUUAACUUGUAUCCAUUUACUUCAUAUUGGCCUCGAGUUCACUCAUGGAAAUAUAACCAUCCCCAAAUCUCUCACGUCAAUCGCAUGAUCCUCUUAUCCUUUCCCAUUCUUAUUUACUCAAGGUGCGCGGGGAAGCGGAAAUAAAGAAAACUCAAUUUGUACUACUCUAAGUUGUGUUCUAUAAUGCUCAAUUUGAAAAACAAAUAAAGGAAAAACACACAUACUCACAAAUGUAAUAAUAUGGAGAUUGGUUUCCCAUUUUUAUAAGCCAUAACAUAUUUAUGAUUUUUAUUGUAUUUUCUUGCAAUUAUGCCUUCAUUAAUUCGAAUUGUAUAUUAUGCUAUAAUACUCUUGAUGUAUCUGGGAAUUAAGCAUUCCUUCAUGCUGACCUUAUUAGUAUUGUGGCUUUUGUGAGACAUGGGCCCUCCGUCCAAACGUGAACGAAUAAAACUAUCGAAAUCAAGUAAUACACAAGUUUCCACGACGCGGCAUGACUUAAGCUCAUAACUCUUUUGUAACAUGGCUGAUGAACGAGCUGUCAUAGAUAGCGCCAUAAGGCCAUGGCGUCGCGAAGCGGCAAUCUCCUAGCUGUCAAAGUUGGCGUUGGCUGCAUCUAGAAGAGUUUGGCUUGGCUGCAUCUUGGCUGCAUCUAGAAGCUUUGACAAGAAUAGUUGGCAAGCUUUGAAAAUUGCACACGGUUUUGAUGAAGAAUUUGGUGAACACGGCUUUGAUUUUCUUGGCCACUACUUUGCUAUAAAUACAAGUGAAAUUGAAGAACAAAAUCAUUCCAUUUUUAGAGAGCAAUUUAGGGAGUUUAAGAGAGAGUUUAAGAGCUUGCAUUUAUAAGCUCUUGUUACAGUGAUUGAGAGAGUUUGGGUGUAUUGGGGUUUUGGGUAGUGAGCUAAAAUACUACAAUACUUGUAACUCCUUUUCACUAGUAAAAUAUUUCAUUCUGUCUUCGCCCGUGGAUGUAGGCUAAAAGCCGAACCACGUAAUUUCUGGUGUCCUCUAGUGUGCUUGUUCUUUAUUUUAUUUCCAAUUUUAUUUUAGCUGCGGUCCUGCUGCACCCACCAAUUUCCUAACACUAGCUAGCAAAGUAGCAAUAAUCACGGUGAUUAACUGAUGCUAAUUAGCUAAUUUGAUUGAAAGUCGUGAAGUAUGGGGCACGAACGAUCGACCAACGCAAUGCAUACGUCUUGGAUGCAUUAGGGACACCAAAUGUGAUCCAUAUAUAUGCUAGCCAGUACUAUAUAUAGAGCAACAAUGUGUGCCUCGAGUAUUCACAAAUUACUAACAAAUUAGUAAUAUACCAAAAAAGGGAGGGAAAAAAAUACAACAACCAUGGUUUUAAAAUUUGAGAAAAGCUUUAUCAUUCCCAUGUUUGUGAUCAUCAUUUUGGUGAUCACUUGUGCAUCACAAGUGGUGUCCGGCCGGUCGAUGCAUGAACCGUCCAUCGUUGAGAAACACGAACAAUGGAUGGCUCAGCAUGGACGCACUUACAAGGACGAGCUAGAGAAGGCAAUGCGUCUUACGAUAUUCAAGCAAAACCUUGAAUACAUUGAGAAAGCCAACAAGGAGGGGAAUCGGACGUACAAGUUGGGCACCAAUGAAUUUUCAGACUUAACUAACGAGGAGUUUCGUGCUUCAUAUACAGGAUACAACAGGCCAGUACCAAGCGUAAGCCGCCAGUCAUCACGGCCAUCCACCUUCAAGUACCAAAACGUGACUGAUGUUCCGACUAGCAUCGACUGGAGGGAGAAAGGAGCUGUCACUCAUAUAAAGAACCAAGGCCAUUG
RNAcentral lists this long non-coding RNA (10930 nucleotides) under Citrus maxima (pomelo). RNAcentral describes it as "long non-coding RNA (CMAX_LNC000543)". The record is from RNAcentral. Lineage: Eukaryota; Viridiplantae; Streptophyta; Magnoliopsida; Sapindales; Rutaceae.